Molecule: ribosomal RNA, 734 nt
Filed under: uncultured bacterium
Lineage: Bacteria
Description: bacterial SSU rRNA
Rfam family: Bacterial small subunit ribosomal RNA
Source: RNAcentral
AACAGUAUUAGAUACCCUGGUAGUCCACGCCGUAAACGAUGAGUGCUAAGUGUUAGGGGGUUUCCGCCCCUUAGUGCUGCAGCUAACGCAUUAAGCACUCCGCCUGGGGAGUACGGCCGCAAGGCUGAAACUCAAAGGAAUUGACGGGGGCCCGCACAAGCGGUGGAGCAUGUGGUUUAAUUCGAAGCAACGCGAAGAACCUUACCAGGUCUUGACAUCCCGCUGACCGCCCUGGAGACAGGGCUUUCCCUUCGGGGACAGCGGUGACAGGUGGUGCAUGGUUGUCGUCAGCUCGUGUCGUGAGAUGUUGGGUUAAGUCCCGCAACGAGCGCAACCCUUGAUCUUAGUUGCCAGCAUUCGGUUGGGCACUCUAAGGUGACUGCCGGUGACAAACCGGAGGAAGGUGGGGAUGACGUCAAAUCAUCAUGCCCCUUAUGACCUGGGCUACACACGUGCUACAAUGGACGGUACAAAGGGCAGCCAACCCGCGAGGGGGAGCCAAUCCCAGAAAACCGUUCUCAGUUCGGAUUGCAGGCUGCAACUCGCCUGCAUGAAGCCGGAAUCGCUAGUAAUCGUGGAUCAGCAUGCCACGGUGAAUACGUUCCCGGGCCUUGUACACACCGCCCGUCACACCACGAGAGUUUGUAACACCCGAAGUCGGUGAGGUAACCAUUCGUGGAGCCAGCCGCCGAAAGUGGGACGGAUGAUUGGGGUGAAGUCGUAACAAGGUAACC